GGGGAUUUAGCUCAGUGGCAUGAGCGCCUGCCUUGCAAGUGCGUGGUUGUGACUUCAAUCCCCA
This 64-nucleotide transfer RNA is filed under the name Cavia porcellus (domestic guinea pig). It matches the Rfam family "tRNA". Rfam says of the family: Transfer RNA (tRNA) molecules are approximately 80 nucleotides in length. The record is from Rfam by way of RNAcentral. Lineage: Eukaryota; Metazoa; Chordata; Mammalia; Rodentia; Caviidae.